RNAcentral lists this long non-coding RNA (695 nucleotides) under Populus tremula. Its description in RNAcentral is "long non-coding RNA (PTRE_LNC003068)". The record is from RNAcentral. Lineage: Eukaryota; Viridiplantae; Streptophyta; Magnoliopsida; Malpighiales; Salicaceae.
GUUGGUGGGAGGAACCACUGGUGGUGGCUUUAAAACACUCAGAGGGGAUAAAACACACUGGUUUUAUUACAAAAUCCGAAGCUUACAAUUAACACAAAAACAAAAGCUUAAACACGCCCUCUCUCUCUCUUUCUCUUUCAAGUGUUUCUCACAAUUCUCUCCACACAUAUAACAUAAGCUGGGUACUCUAUUUAUAGACAAAAUCAGAAUACGAAAAUUCAAACUUUCUUCAAGUGUGAAGGCGGCUGUGGCAGCUGGUGGAGGCGGCUGGCGGCUGCGGCUGGUGGCUGGCGGCUGGUCGGUUGGUGGCUGGUCGGUGGCAGCUGGUGGUUGCCUUCCUUGACCAUCUAGAUGUUGAGUUUAAUUCAACAAAUCUCCCCCUUAAACUCAAUCGAGGGAUGUCAUGGCAAGCAUGAACACUUCUCCUUUCAAUGCCUUCUUUAUGCUUGUAGAUCCUUUUGACACCUAUUGCUUUCUUCUUUUCUGGUGGAUCCUUAUCUGCAUGGAAACAAAACAGAGUUGUAUCUUCCAUGACCUGAGUGGUAUCGUACAACUCUUCAAGAUUCCUCAUCCUUCUUGGUCCUUCUGAUGAGGAUGCUGAUGGUGGUGUUGAUGAUGAUGCUCCUGGUGUGUUCCUCCUGUUGAAUACAGGGAAACUGUGUACCGGACUUUGUGGUUCAGCUGCUGGUAUAAAC